UACGUAGGGGGCAAGCGUUGUCCGGAAUCAUUGGGCGUAAAGCGCGUGUAGGCGGUCCGGUAAGUCCGCUGUGAAAGUCGGGGGCUCAACCCUCGGAUGCCGGUGGAUACUGUCGGGCUUGAGUACGGAAGAGGAGUGUGGAAUUCCUGGUGUAGCGGUGAAAUGCGCAGAUAUCAGGAGGAACACCAAUGGCGAAGGCAGCACUCUGGGACGUGACUGACGCUGAGACGCGAAAGCGUGGGGAGCAAACAGG
Molecule: ribosomal RNA, 253 nt
Filed under: uncultured bacterium
Lineage: Bacteria
Description: partial 16S ribosomal RNA
Rfam family: Bacterial small subunit ribosomal RNA
Source: RNAcentral